This 484-nucleotide ribosomal RNA is filed under the name uncultured bacterium. RNAcentral describes it as "partial 16S ribosomal RNA". It matches the Rfam family "Bacterial small subunit ribosomal RNA", at positions 29 to 507 of the family's 1533-position model. The record is from RNAcentral.
AUUGAACGCUGGCGGCAUGCUUUACACAUGCAAGUCGAACGGCAGCGCGGGCUUCGGCCUGGCGGCGAGUGGCGAACGGGUGAGUAAUACAUCGGAACGUGCCCAGUAGUGGGGGAUAGCUCGGCGAAAGCCGGAUUAAUACCGCAUACGACCUGAGGGUGAAAGCGGGGGAUCUUCGGACCUCGCGCUAUUGGAGCGGCCGAUGGCAGAUUAGCUAGUUGGUGGGGUAAAGGCCUACCAAGGCGACGAUCUGUAGCUGGUCUGAGAGGACGACCAGCCACACUGGGACUGAGACACGGCCCAGACUCCUACGGGAGGCAGCAGUGGGGAAUUUUGGACAAUGGGCGAAAGCCUGAUCCAGCAAUGCCGCGUGUGUGAUGAAGGCCUUCGGGUUGUAAAGCACUUUUGGCGGGAACGAAAAGGACUGUGCCAAUACCACGGAUCGAUGACGGUACCCGCAGAAUAAGCACCGGCUAACUACGUG